CGCAGGCGCAGAAAAGGGGGCGGGGGGACUCGACUUGUUGUGUUGCUGCUGCCCGAGAGCCGGAUACUGUCGUGCUGCGGCCGCGGCGCUCCCAGUCUCCUGACCAUGUCUCACUUAGUUGAGCCGCCGCCACCCCUGCACAACAACAACAACAACUGCGAGGAAGGGGAGCAGCCCCUGCCGCCGCCCGCCGGCCUCAACAGUUCCUGGGUGGAGCUACCUAUGAACAGCAGCAAUGGCAAUGAUAAUGGCAACGGGAAGAAUGGGGGGCUGGAGCACGUCCCUUCCUCUUCCUCAAUCCACAAUGGAGACAUGGAGAAGAUCCUUCUGGACGCACAGCAUGAGUCGGGACAGAGCAGCUCAAGAGGCAGCUCUCACUGUGACAGCCCUUCACCACAAGAAGAUGGACAGAUCAUGUUUGAUGUUGAGAUGCACACCAGCAGGGACCAUAGCUCUCAGUCAGAAGAAGAAGUUGUAGAAGGAGAGAAAGAAGUUGAGGCUUUGAAGAAAAGUGCAGACUGGGUAUCAGACUGGUCCAGUAGACCCGAAAACAUCCCACCCAAAGAGUUCCAUUUCAGACACCCUAAACGUGCUGUCUCUCUAAGCAUGAGGAAGAGUGGAGCCAUGAAGAAAGGGGGCAUUUUCUCUGCAGAGUUCCUGAAGGUCUUCAUCCCGUCUCUCUUUCUUUCUCAUGUGUUGGCUUUGGGGCUGGGAUGGUAAAACACACUAUUGUGGAGGAUGAUUCUUGAAUAUGCUGGUAGGCUACUGUAGCAUCUAUAUUGGAAAACGACUGAGCACACCUUCUGCCAGCACCUACUGAGGGAAACGAAAAGCACCUGGAAAUGCGCGUGGCCUGUGAAGUGGUGUAUUGUAGUUUGAAUUUGAGACCUAUUGUAAGCAUGAUCCCCAACCUACAACCCUAUUUUUACAUACCCAAUCCCAGUAACUCUCAAAUCCAGUAUUUUACUCAAACUCUAUUGAGGCAUUUUACUAACCUUCUUCCCUUUUUGGCCUGUAAGACACUUUAGAGAUUCCUAACAGAAUUUCCUGUCGUUUAGAAAUUUGCAAGGGCUUUUUUCAGCAAUGCCACCAGCAGAUUAUAACCUUGUCAACAAUACCAUCAUUUCCUCUUAGUACCACCAGAAUCACACCUACAUCAUUCAUGCUAGAAGCUGAAUUCUAGCCAUGCAACUACAUCUCUUUCUAAAUGAGGUCAGGUUUGCAAACAGUACUAUAAAAGCUUUGUUUAGUUUUUGUUUUCCAGAACAAAAAUAAGCUUCCCUAAGCUUGAAUUUAUAGUUAUUAAAAACAAAAGAAAACCAAACCAAAAAAAAAAAAAAAAGCAAGACAUAAGGAAAAAUAUAUCCUGGGCAAUAAAAAUUACUUUAAACCAGCUGUGGAGCCGCUCUUUUCCUAAGCCUCCUGUUCCGCCUUCAGUUCGUAGGAGGCAGCCUGUAUGAGUGACAGAUAGGAUAUAGAAGAAUAGAACAUGCUGGCAGAUUUUAACAUUAGGAUGUUGCAAUGCUCUCUUUUCUAUGAUAGAAAAUCUUUAUUUCUAAGGAAUGCCUCAGAUCUAGACAUACACAAAAUUGUUUUUGAGAUUUUUGUGCGUUUGGUAUUUUCAUGUGUUACCUGCAUGUGAAUUUCUCAUGACUUUCUUUACUUGUCUUUCUAGUUUCUUUCUUUUUUUUUUUUUCUCAGAAGAGACUUGGAACGAGUCUGAUUCAUGGUGUUAAUAGAGGCUUCUUGUUUUAGGAAGCUUUGCUUACACCCUGGAGCCUUUACACUCUGAAGAGUAACUUCAGAGUUAUUUCAAACACUUGUGUAACUUCACACAGCAGAUCUGGGGUGUGGAAACAGUUGACAAAGUUCUGGAAAGAUGCCAUUCAUUCUCUGUGGUCCCUUACUUCCUGUUGUUGGCUAUGGUCUUCCCAGUGUGUCCCUAGGAUCUCCCAGGCCCUGGUGACUUUCUCAUGCAGUUGUCUUUUCAGUUCUGUCAAACUCCUGAUGAUCCGCAAUACUCAGAAAAGCCUUUGAAUGGCAGACAUUGUUUGUCUGUUUCUACAAUGUGAAGCUUUAGGACCAAACUGUUAGACGGCAUCAGGAUUGCAGAUUAUCUCAAGUAGAUUCUGUUGGAUUUCAGAACAUAGCAUAACUCUGAAGGAUUCUAUGUUUUAUAUAUAAUUACUGUUUAUGAUAUAGACUGUGCUAUAGUUGCAGAACCAUUGUGAAUUUCAAAGCUAGCAACCUACAUGGUGUACCAAGUUGACUUGAAUAAAUAUGGCAACCGGGUUUGCUAGUCUGCAGAAACUAACUCCUCUCUCACAUAAAGGGUUAUAAAAUUGGUGUUACAUGGAAAUGGAAAGUAACACAGAUAGGAAGACAUUUCUAUCAUUUUUCAAGAACAUAGCUGUUUAUCUUUAAGAAAGAUAAUAUAUCCAAAGUAGUUUUUGUGAGUUAUUUUCUUUCUGGCAUUUAAUGUCUAAAUGAUUAUGGGCGUCUUUUGCCCUUUUCCUAUCUUGCUCUUAAACCUGGUGACGCUUGAUUUACCUUAUCGCUUAUUUAUUUCAAGUGUUUGUAUUUGAAUUUCGUUAGGAAGAAAGUAAAUCUGAUGGCCUAUUUGUUUGUUUGUUUUUGAAAAGCCUGAAUCAAAUUGGCCAGACUACUGAGGCUAAACUGUAGCACAGUUGAGUGCUCCUGUGUGAACGAGCAGCAGAGUCGUUCACUAAGUGAUCUCCCAGGCAGACACCUCCUUGAUAAAUUCAGGAGCAGCCUGUCAGCAGUGCCAUUGAACUGGGAUGUAUGAUUUUAUUUCAACAUUAAAAGUAAAUUUAAUUUCGCCAUUUUUGAAAGUAUCAGUAAGAUCAUGGAACAUGUCACAGCACAACUGUCCAUCAGGGAGCUUGUAAGGUGUUGAUUUGCAGCCCUGACAUACGGGAUGUUUAUGCUCCUACACAGAUUCUUGUUGAAUGAAAACAGAUUGUCCUAUUGCAAAGCAGAAUUCAACCACGAGUUGAAAUUUAAGAUAAUGUUUAAAAAGCUUUAUUCCUGUUUACAAUUUGGAAUGAGAAGCAAGCUUCGUUUUAAGUUUGAAAACUGGCUCAGAUGUUUGUAAGUCAAGAGGAAAGCGGCACAGAGAACAGUACGGCAGUCACUCGAUUACAGUAGAGAGUGAAGUGGGGACUCGGCCAUGAGACGAACCGCACAGUGAACCAGUUGGUGGAGCUCCUGGCAUUAACUGAGCCAGAGUGAUACACAUCCCUCGUCUGUCUCGUCAGCACUUGCGUCAUUCCUUACAGUUUACAGAACACGUGUAACUUGUAGCUAUAAACAUUUUGUGCCAUUAAAGCUCUCACAAAAAC
Microtus oregoni (creeping vole) is the source of this 3362-nucleotide RNA transcript. It is a transcript of the gene named BCL2 interacting protein 3 like, with no coding region annotated. The transcript has 7 exons. The record is from RefSeq and is a predicted model, not a curated record. Lineage: Eukaryota; Metazoa; Chordata; Mammalia; Rodentia; Cricetidae.